UGCUAAAAAUUUGAUCUAUUUGUACGGUUAAAAAUUGGUGCAGAUGAUGAAAUAACCAAACCGUGUGACAUAUGACGUAUCAUGUGUAUUCCAUGUUGAUGCACAAAGAUUAAUUUUUAACAGAAGAAUUUGAUAAAAUUUUAAAUA
This 147-nucleotide microRNA precursor is filed under the name Gossypium hirsutum (cotton). RNAcentral describes it as "MIR7502 microRNA precursor family". It matches the Rfam family "MIR7502 microRNA precursor family". The record is from Rfam by way of RNAcentral. Lineage: Eukaryota; Viridiplantae; Streptophyta; Magnoliopsida; Malvales; Malvaceae.